RNAcentral lists this long non-coding RNA (921 nucleotides) under Trifolium pratense (red clover). RNAcentral describes it as "long non-coding RNA (TPRA_LNC000873)". Lineage: Eukaryota; Viridiplantae; Streptophyta; Magnoliopsida; Fabales; Fabaceae. The record is from RNAcentral.
AGUAGUUGACCCCCACACUAAGGGUCUCUCAAAUCCAUAAGACACUGGAGCAAUCUUUCAGAGGUGUUUUGAAUUAUUUACACAAGCUUUGAUGCUAGUUUUNNNNNNNNNNNNNNNNNNNNNNNNNNNNNNNNNNNAUCCUGAUGUGUUUGUUGUCUGCACCACAGAAAAUUGUUUAUCACUAAAUCAACAAUGUGACUUAAUAAGAGAGUAUGCAAAUAACAAGGAUCAACUAUCAUAACUUUCUGCAAGUUUCAAAAUUUACAGUAUCAUUGAUUCAACCAUUAUAAUUUUGAUAAGCUAGGCGUGUAGAAUUGAUUCAACCAUUAUAAUUAAAGACUUUUUUUCUUUGAAAACACUAACGUUUUCUUUUGGAUAAAGCACUCAUUAACAUUAGCAAACUCAAGCUGCAACAAAAGAGAAAUUAAAAUAAAAUCUACAUCAACGCAUCCAGACACACGUAACAUAACACCAUUUUAAAACUUUCGAUAAAAUGGACAAUCAAAAUCAACAGCAGCAAAAUGAUCAAUGAGAUUUCACAGCUACUUUUCUAAACCCUAAAAUGACAUUCAGAUAGGUUUUUUUAUUCCUUCUAAACAUUGGAAUUCAAAAGGAAUUACUGAAUUAAAAACAUGAAACAUAAUUUUGAUGAUGUAACUACACAUACUUCAAUUUACUAAACUAGGCGCAUAUACUGUGAUACUAUCAAAUACAGUUGCGAUCACAUUUAUAAGAAAGAGGUAAGGUGUCGAAUACUCACUCAAAGGUCGGUGGUGGCGGCGAACUCAGGUUACAGCGGCAACACGAUGGUGGUUCGGCGUGAAAACUCGUGUGAUUUUGGUGAGAGCAUGUGAUGCGAUCUCCCCUUUACCAAGCCAAUGAAACUAAGAAGAGAGAAGAAGACCAAUUUCCCAAACUUNN